GCGGGAAUAGCUCAGUUGGUAGAGCACAACCUUGCCAAGGUUGGGGUCCGCGGGUUCGAGUCCCGUUUCCCGCU
This 74-nucleotide transfer RNA is filed under the name Gemmatimonadota bacterium. RNAcentral's name for it is "Gemmatimonadetes bacterium (activated sludge metagenome) tRNA-Gly". It matches the Rfam family "tRNA". From Rfam's summary of the family: Transfer RNA (tRNA) molecules are approximately 80 nucleotides in length. Their secondary structure includes four short double-helical elements and three loops (D, anti-codon, and T loops). The record is from RNAcentral. Lineage: Bacteria; Pseudomonadati; Gemmatimonadota.